Long non-coding RNA from Chinchilla lanigera (long-tailed chinchilla), 566 nucleotides. RefSeq lists it as uncharacterized. The transcript has 3 exons. Lineage: Eukaryota; Metazoa; Chordata; Mammalia; Rodentia; Chinchillidae. The record is from RefSeq and is a predicted model, not a curated record.
CCUCCGGGGUGGUAAAGAGGGCCCUGCCUAGACAAGCACAAUGGUGCACCCCUAUCCUCCCAGCACACUGGGAGGCUGAGGCAGGAGGAUCACAAACUCGAGCUCAGCCUUGGCAAUUCACUGACUUAGUGAGACUCUGUCUCAAAAUAAAAAACCUUGGAUGAGAAAACAGCAGCACUAAAUCACAGUGUUUUCCAAACGCCCGCUGGGGAGGGAUCGUGCAUUUGGAAGAACCCCGCCCUUUGUGCCAGGCUCCAUCCAGGUCAACCUCUGCCAGAAGGCUGGCUCACUACCUCCCGGCCAGGCCACGUCACAGCCGGAUGAGGAAACACUGCAGGACAACGAGAAAAAAAGGUGGACGGAAAAGACAACAACCAAGGCAGCUGACAACCUGGGUAGGAAGGGUCUGUGACCUCCAGUUUCACCCGCCAAGCAAGCCUGGACUGGCGUCCCACAGCGGUACCCUGGAGCCCAGGGCACAGAGAGGCAGUUCUAGGGAUGGAACCCAACACCUCCCCCAGGCUAGGGUCUCGCUAUGUACUGCAAGAACUCACUAUGAAGCCCAG